This 253-nucleotide ribosomal RNA is filed under the name uncultured bacterium. Its description in RNAcentral is "partial 16S ribosomal RNA". It matches the Rfam family "Bacterial small subunit ribosomal RNA", at positions 524 to 776 of the family's 1533-position model. The record is from RNAcentral.
UACAGAGGUCUCAACCGUUGUUCGGAUUCAUUGGGCGUAAAGGGUGCGUAGGCGGUCGCGCAAGUCGGAUGUGAAAUCUCAGGGCUCAACCCUGAAACUGCAUUCGAUACUGCGUGGCUAGAGUGCUGGAGAGGAGACUGGAAUUUACGGUGUAGCAGUGAAAUGCGUAGAUAUCAGGAGGAACAUCAGUGGCGAAGGCGGCUACCUGGCCCAAUACUGACACUCAGGUGCGACAGCGUGGGGAGCAAACAGG